RNAcentral lists this unclassified non-coding RNA (233 nucleotides) under uncultured fungus. Its description in RNAcentral is "sequence contains 18S rRNA gene, ITS1, 5.8S rRNA gene, ITS2". Lineage: Eukaryota; Fungi. The record is from RNAcentral.
ACAUCACUGAUAAAAGAGUUUGGGUCCUCUGGCGGGCGCGAUCAGCCGGGGCCGACGCCUAAAGGACGGCCCGCCAAAGCAACAAAGGUAAAUAAACACAGGGUGUAUGAUAUCUCCCUUUCCAAUCCGGUGCGUUUUACGGCAAAGGACCGGUCCGGUUACAUUAAUGAUCCUUCCGCAGGUUCACCUACGGAAACCUUGUUACGACUUUUACUUCCUCUAAAUGACCAAGA